GACGAACGCUGGCGGCGUGCUUAACACAUGCAAGUCGAACGGAAAGGCCCUGCUUUUGUGGGGUGCUCGAGUGGCGAACGGGUGAGUAACACGUGAGUAACCUGCCCUUGACUUUGGGAUAACUUCAGGAAACUGGGGCUAAUACCGGAUAGGAGCUCCUGCUGCAUGGUGGGGGUUGGAAAGUUUCGGCGGUUGGGGAUGGACUCGCGGCUUAUCAGCUUGUUGGUGGGGUAGUGGCUUACCAAGGCUUUGCCGGGUAGCCGGCCUGAGAGGGUGACCGGACACAGUAGAACUGACAUACGGCCCAUACUCCUACGGGAGGCAGCAGUGGAGAAUAUUGCACAAUGGGCGGAAGACUGAUCCAGCAACUCCGCGUGCGAGAUGACGGCCUGCGGGUUGUAUACCGCUUUCACGAGUAACGAAGCGUAAGUGACGGUAAGGGGUAAAGAAGCACCGGCAAACUACGUG
Molecule: ribosomal RNA, 468 nt
Filed under: uncultured bacterium
Lineage: Bacteria
Description: partial 16S ribosomal RNA
Rfam family: Bacterial small subunit ribosomal RNA
Source: RNAcentral